CAUGUUACGACCUCUUGAGGAAAAAAGAUACAUUAUACCAUUUAAUGAACGAGGUGGAGGAUGUGCAGCUAUGAGAUCCAUGUGUAUAGGUUUGAUGUUUCCUUGUGAAGAUCAAAUUGAAAUGUUAAUUGAAAUUGCUGUUGAAAGUGGAAGGAUGACUCAUAAUCACCCCACAGGUUAUCUAGGGGCUGUUACUGCAGCUUUAUUUACAGCCUAUGCUAUACAGAAGAUGGCUCCAAAAAAAUGGGGAGCAGGACUUUUAAGUGUUUUACCCAAAGUUUGGGAAUACAUUGAGAAGGUUGGUCGUGAUGUAGAAGAAAACAAGAAAUCUUGGGGCUACUUUAAAAAUAGUUGGGAGUCAUAUCUUGAACUACGG
Xenia sp. Carnegie-2017 is the source of this 376-nucleotide long non-coding RNA. RefSeq lists it as uncharacterized. The transcript has 2 exons. NCBI's taxonomy places the organism in Eukaryota, Metazoa, Cnidaria, Anthozoa, Malacalcyonacea, Xeniidae. The record is from RefSeq and is a predicted model, not a curated record.